This is a long non-coding RNA of Carcharodon carcharias (great white shark), 464 nucleotides long. RefSeq lists it as uncharacterized. The record is from RefSeq and is a predicted model, not a curated record. The transcript has 3 exons. Lineage: Eukaryota; Metazoa; Chordata; Chondrichthyes; Lamniformes; Lamnidae.
GUCACCAAGGUGGGCCUUCCUGAUGCAAUUCAGUUCUAGAAUACUCAGGUUGAGUACAACAAUUUUCAAAGGACACUAGAAGAUUCAACAUGAAGAUUCAACACCUGAAGUGAGCCCCCUGGAAAGCUGGAAGUAACUUGGGACUUAAUCUUGUAUUGCUUCAGAACCUUCAGCAAAAGCAGAUACUGGAAGAGAGCAAAUGUAACCUCGCUAUUGAAGAAAGAAGGGAAAGAGAAAACUACAAAAGGCUUGUUAGCCUGAUGUCAAUAGCAAUGGAAAUGCUACUUUAUUGACAAGGUCAGUGUAGGAGAGCACUGUGAUUGAUGUGGAUCCCGGGUUUACAAACGCAAAAGAAAUAAACAUCCUUCGCCUUGAUGAACACGGUAAUAAGAGAUUUUAAAAGACACUACUGGCCGGCUCAGUGCAGACAAGCACUUUUUUGUUAUUUUAAAUAAGAAUAUUCU